RNAcentral lists this ribosomal RNA (489 nucleotides) under uncultured bacterium. Its description in RNAcentral is "partial 16S ribosomal RNA". It matches the Rfam family "Bacterial small subunit ribosomal RNA", at positions 30 to 507 of the family's 1533-position model. The record is from RNAcentral.
UUGAACGCUGGCGGCAGGCCUAACACGUGCAAGUCGAACGGUAACAGGAAACAGCUUGCUGUUUCGCUGACGAGUGGCGGACGGGUGAGUAAUGUCUGGGAAACUGCCUGAUGGAGGGGGAUAACUACUGGAAACGGUAGCUAAUACCGCAUAACGUCGCAAGACCAAAGAGGGGGACCCUCGGGCCUCUUGCCAUCGGAUGUGCCCAGAUGGGAUUAGCUUGUUGGUGGGGUAACGGCUCACCAAGGCGACGAUCCCUAGCUGGUCUGAGAGGAUGACCAGCCACACUGGAACUGAGACACGGUCCAGACUCCUACGGGAGGCAGCAGUGGGGAAUAUUGCACAAUGGGCGCAAGCCUGAUGCAGCCAUGCCGCGUGUAUGAAGAAGGCCUUCGGGUUGUAAAGUACUUUCAGCGGGGAGGAAGGGAGUAAAGUUAAUACCUUUGCUCAUUGACGUUACCCGCAGAAGAAGCACCGGCUAACUCCGUG